This 505-nucleotide ribosomal RNA is filed under the name uncultured bacterium. RNAcentral's name for it is "partial 16S ribosomal RNA". It matches the Rfam family "Bacterial small subunit ribosomal RNA", at positions 28 to 507 of the family's 1533-position model. The record is from RNAcentral.
GACGAACGCUGGCGGCGUGCCUAAUACAUGCAAGUAGAACGCACAGUUUAUACCGUAGCUUGCUACACCAUAGACUGUGAGUUGCGAACGGGUGAGUAACGCGUAGGUAACCUGCCUGGUAGCGGGGGAUAACUAUUGGAAACGAUAGCUAAUACCGCAUAAUAUUGAUUAUUGCAUGAUAAUUGAUUGAAAGAUGCUAUUGCAUCACUACCAGAUGGACCUGCGUUGUAUUAGCUAGUAGGUGAGGUAACGGCUCACCUAGGCGACGAUACAUAGCCGACCGGAGAGGGUGAUCAGCCACACUGGGAGUGAGACACGGCCCAGACGCCUACGGGAGGCAGCAGUAGGGAAUCUUCGGCAAUGGACGAAAGUCUGACCGAGCAACGCCGCGGGAGUGAAGAAGGUUUUCGGAUCGUAAAGCUCUGUUGUAAGAGAAGAACGGGUGUGAGAGUGGAAAGUUCACACUGUGACGGUAUCUUACCAGAAAGGGACGGCUAACUACGUG